This is a long non-coding RNA of Helianthus annuus (common sunflower), 801 nucleotides long. RefSeq lists it as uncharacterized. Lineage: Eukaryota; Viridiplantae; Streptophyta; Magnoliopsida; Asterales; Asteraceae. The transcript has 3 exons. The record is from RefSeq and is a predicted model, not a curated record.
CAAAUGAAAAAUCAAAACUUUUGAUCUCCCUCCUCCCGGCUCCCUCCCUCUUUAACCUACCUAGGCUCAAAAAGAGGGUUUUUUUUGUUACUGCAGGGGAGACAAUUGUUACAGAAUCUAAACCAGGGUGUGCGGUGGCUACGAUAGGAAUAUGGGGACUCAUCGGUCGCAGUGGUUGUUGUGGUACUAGCGCGCGUGCGACGGGAUAGUUGAACCAGGAAGAGGUAAGGCUAAAAUCUCUGAUAUGGAUCUAAGUUACAAAAGUUUUCUUCAUGAAUGGAAAAUAGACACAAAAGUAAAAGGCAUUCUGGUUGAUGGGACGUUGAUCAUUUCCUUUUAGUAAGGUAUCAAGAACUAAACCAUCUGGUCCUAAUUUGGUUGAGUAAUGGCACUUAAGAUAGUGACUGCAUGUCAUCAUGGUGUGGUUUUCAUAUGGGAGAUAGGUGUUAGACUUAUGUUGAGCCAAGAGAAUCAUUGGAUGAUAUUGGUAGCUAAAUCGUAUUAGCUAACUUCAAGUGAUACCGAAGAUCAUCAGAGUCAGGUUAUAACAAUCGAGGAGGAGGAACUGAAACCGAACAAGAAGAAACUAAGACAACACAAAGAGCAAUAUUAGCAAUAGUUGCGUUGAUGACCUGACAUAGGAUGUUAGUUAAAACUUAUUCCCUACAUAUUAUUAGUUGAUUUAUCUAAUAUUGUUUUAUAUUUUAGAAUUGAUCAACCAAGUUAAUUAAUUUGUAUGUUUAAUUGUCAAUUGUUUUAAACUUUAUAAUUAAUGUGUUAUGAUAUUCUUGGUUGGAUACA